UGGAUUAGCUCUCCUGGUGUGUGUGU
Molecule: non-coding RNA, 26 nt
Filed under: Mus musculus (house mouse)
Lineage: Eukaryota; Metazoa; Chordata; Mammalia; Rodentia; Muridae
Source: RNAcentral